UGUAAAGUUUGAAUAAGGAAUAAAGUUGGCUGGAAGACCUUCAUUUUUUCAAAAGAAACCUAAAAAUGAAAUAUUUAUAACUAGAGGGAUAUAGGAACACAAUUAUAAUUUAAAGUGUGAGUCACAACACUGUCUUGUUCAACCAGGGAACAAAAUGACUUAGAGGCAGAAUAAAAUUACUUCAUUUAUGUGUCUUAAGAACAUGACAUUCUUUCAGUCUGCUCAUGUCCUUGGGUUAAAUGGCAGAGUGUCUGUUCUGUUCCCCGAGGUGAUCAGUGGCUUUAUUACUGGUCAUUCGUCUGGGGUGACUUUUCCAAGAAUUAAUAAUGAUAACAUUAACAGCUCACUGCCAAGCACUGCGCUUUACUUAUGUCAUCUCACUUAAUCAUGUUGCCUUGUCGGGUAAGUAUCAUUGUCCCCAUUUGAUAGAUAAGGAAACUGAGGCUUGGAGAAGCUUGACCACUUACCCAAACCCACUCAGUUACUAACUGUCAGAGCUGAGGUUUGAAACAGUGCCCUUGAUCUGGAGCCCAGCUCUCAGUCACUUGCCCUACCCUCCCGAAUGCGAUGGGCUUGGGUAGUCCCCUCACUUUCUUUUGAAAGACUAUGUAACUACCUCCUCUAGCAAAUUUCACUCUGCUAUGUUUGGUCAUGGUCACCGUCAGUAGAGAGGGAUUAACUUGCAUACUAAGGUUUUGACUUUUUUGCAGCAUCUGGGCAUUUAUAUAUAUAUAUAUACACAUACACACACAUAUAUACACACAUAUAUAUAUGGAGUGCAGUGGUGUGAUCUUGGCUCACUGCACUCGAGUGUGUGUGUGUGUAUGUAAAAAGAUACAUACCUAUGUAUGUACAAAAAUACUUAUAUAUGUAUAUAUUUAAAAUACAUAUACAUGUAUAUAUAAAAAAUUGUGUGUGUGUGUACAUAUAUAUAUUUUUUGAAAUGGAGUCUUGCUCUGUUGCCCAGGCUGGAGUACAAUGGUGCAAUCUUGGCUUACUGCAACCUCCAUCUCCUGAGUCAAACAAUUCUCCUGCCUCAGCCCCCUCAGUAGCUGGGAUUACAGGACCACCAUUAAAAUGUUGA
RNAcentral lists this long non-coding RNA (1084 nucleotides) under Papio anubis (olive baboon). Its description in RNAcentral is "lncRNA (ENSPANG00000040565.1)". Lineage: Eukaryota; Metazoa; Chordata; Mammalia; Primates; Cercopithecidae. The record is from RNAcentral.